Centrocercus urophasianus (Greater sage-grouse) is the source of this 216-nucleotide long non-coding RNA. RefSeq lists it as uncharacterized. The record is from RefSeq and is a predicted model, not a curated record. The transcript is spliced from 3 exons. Lineage: Eukaryota; Metazoa; Chordata; Aves; Galliformes; Phasianidae.
GCUGCCUUUUGAAGGAUUUAAUUGCUCCAAGGAUUCACGCUUACACAGUAUUCUUCACCUCUUAGAAAUCACCGGACCAAAGAAAAAUCAGACGCACUGAGAGGAUUGCAAAUGAAGGACUUUUACAGCUAAAAACACCAUUACCCGUGUAUAAUCACAGUUGACUUAGCAGUGAUGGCUCAGGGAAUUUGUUUAAGGAGAAUUUAUCAGUUCUGG